CUCUGAUAGUAACUGUUCAAUGCAUAUGAAAUGUUCCCCUUAACAUCCAAACCUCCACAAGAAGUCCCAUAACCAAGGCUGGUGCAGUCAGCAAGUCCACAAGCAUAGCUCACACUAGGUGCCACAAGAUUGGCUGAUGACUUCAUCACACACCAUUUACCCUCCAGGUAACGGACAUUUUUUGCUUCAAUUAAAGCUAUUGAAUUUGUGGUACCAAGGUUAAGGGAGUACUUGGCUUUUCCAUCAUAUGUAAAUAUCCCCCAAUGGCGUUCGAAGUUCCCCGGAUCAAUGCUCUUAGCAUCCUCAUCAAUCAAACUAAAUAAAUA
RNAcentral lists this unclassified non-coding RNA (326 nucleotides) under Hevea brasiliensis (rubber tree). Lineage: Eukaryota; Viridiplantae; Streptophyta; Magnoliopsida; Malpighiales; Euphorbiaceae. The record is from RNAcentral.